RNAcentral lists this non-coding RNA (21 nucleotides) under Caenorhabditis elegans. The record is from RNAcentral. Lineage: Eukaryota; Metazoa; Nematoda; Chromadorea; Rhabditida; Rhabditidae.
UCUUUGAUCUAAAUUUUUAAU